GACGAACGCUGGCGGCGUGCUUAACACAUGCAAGUCGAACGGAAAGGCCCUGCUUUUGUGGGGUGCUCGAGUGGCGAACGGGUGAGUAACACGUGAGUAACCUGCCCUUGACUUUGGGAUAACUUCAGGAAACUGGGGCUAAUACUGGAUAGGGGCUCCUGCUGCAUGGUGGGGGUUGGAAAGUUUCGGCGGUUGGGGAUGGACUCGCGGCUUAUCAGCUUGUUGGUGGGGUAGUGGCUUACCAAGGCUUUGACGGGUAGCCGGCCUGAGAGGGUGACCGGCCACAUUGGGACUGAGAUACGGCCCAGACUCCUACGGGAGGCAGCAGUGGGGAAUAUUGCACAAUGGGCGGAAGCCUGAUGCAGCAACGCCGCGUGCGGGAUGACGGCCUUCGGGUUGUAAACCGCUUUCGCCUGUGACGAAGCGUGAGUGACGGUAAUGGGUAAAGAAGCACCGGCUAACUACGUG
RNAcentral lists this ribosomal RNA (468 nucleotides) under uncultured bacterium. Its description in RNAcentral is "partial 16S ribosomal RNA". It matches the Rfam family "Bacterial small subunit ribosomal RNA", at positions 28 to 507 of the family's 1533-position model. The record is from RNAcentral.